RNAcentral lists this transfer RNA (85 nucleotides) under Shewanella piezotolerans WP3. Its description in RNAcentral is "tRNA-Tyr". The record is from RNAcentral. Lineage: Bacteria; Pseudomonadati; Pseudomonadota; Gammaproteobacteria; Alteromonadales; Shewanellaceae.
CAAGAAUAUACAUCCAAUCACCGACAUCAAGCCAAUUUUAUUUACGCUAUAGUGAGUGCGUUCAACACAUAAGAGGAGCUAACCC